Chroicocephalus ridibundus (black-headed gull) is the source of this 401-nucleotide long non-coding RNA. RefSeq lists it as uncharacterized. The record is from RefSeq and is a predicted model, not a curated record. The transcript is spliced from 3 exons. Lineage: Eukaryota; Metazoa; Chordata; Aves; Charadriiformes; Laridae.
CUCCUUAUUUGAGAUCUUUAAUAGCAGCAGCUGCUGAAGGAAAGGGAACUGCAGAAGCACGCUUGUUGCCAAACUGUGCAUUUAAAUGGAAGGAGGAGAACCAGAUGGGGAAAUCACUCUUCAGUGUUUACUAGCACAAUCAGCACCUGAGGCAGCACUUAUUCAGGUGCUGAAAUUACAGAGAUAUUGGGGAACAGCAUGGAGGAAGAGAAACAAAGAUUAAACGAUGGAGAAGAGUGCCGUGCUCUGGAUCCGUAGGGACAAAAUGGGCAGGAAUAGGGACUGCACUUACAAAAGAAAUGGGAUGUCUCUCUAUUGCGAGCACAGAUGUUGGCACAGCAGUGAAGAGCUGAGUAAGACACUCGAUGCAUCUCUGUGAAGCAGCCUCAAGUCAAAGGUAA